Molecule: long non-coding RNA, 6286 nt
Filed under: Lactuca sativa (garden lettuce)
Lineage: Eukaryota; Viridiplantae; Streptophyta; Magnoliopsida; Asterales; Asteraceae
Description: long non-coding RNA (LSAT_LNC006970)
Source: RNAcentral
UUAAUAAAUCAUAUUAUCCUCUCUCUCUCUCUCAUCAAAUUACCUUGUCAAGUUGUUUUGGUGAAGGCAACCCAAAAGGACCAUGCACAACCGGGUCAAGUACAUACCAAAUAUAGUUAUGGGCUUAGACACCAAUCCAACAGUCUCCCACUUGGAUAAGUCUAGUAACUAUAUCUUACAUAUGUCUUCAGGAUCCGAUAAGCAAUCGUAGCUCUUAUACGCUGUUGUCAACUCUGAUCAAAAUCUUGUCCUUCAGAUAAAUGAUCGUAUAAUCCUAUGUUCUAGAUAUCAUGCUUACAAUACUUGUUGUCUAACAUUUUGUUCCUCGAUUUCUGAUUUAUUCGACAUAGAAUUUAGUUGAACUCAUCAACUUCAUCCUGACAGGGCUCGACACAUAAGUCAAACCAAAUCAUCGAGUGGCCAGAUAUCGCUUUUAUCCUCUUAGAAUAAAAGGAACAGAAAAACUUUGACUUAAAUGCUUUUAUCAUUCACUAGUUAAGUCACACACAAUAAUGUGUUUUAUAACAUCAAGUUACUGAUGCGUUUUCGCAUUAUCAUUGUAUAAUCAACUAGCAAACAAUAACCAUAUCUCUAGGUUUAAAGAUUAUAUGAUUUUAUCAUCUUGCGAUCACUCGUGAUACCUCUAAUGAAGUGAAACCAGCAAGCGUGGGUUUAUUCCAAUGGUCAAAUCAUAUUUCAUAAGCACUCAUGAACUUUGUAGCAAUCCUUUGCUAUGUCUAAAACCUUUCAUAAAAUCCACAAACAAAUUCAUGACAAUCUUCCUUCAUAUCUACUUCCAACAUAUGAACGAUUGUGGACUGUUUGAAUAAUCUUAUUAUUCAGGAAGUCAAAACAUGCAAAAUAGAAACAAUACAUAAAUAAUCAACACAAGAUAGUAACCUUUCUUAUAAAUAAUACACCUUUAUUUAAUCAUCAAAUGUUGAAUACAAAAUUAUCUAUUACAAGUUUCAUACCAAUCUAAUCUAAACUAAUAUCGUCCUUUAGCCCAACGCUCCUAGCAUGCUGCAAAUGUUUGACCCUACUCAGUCCCUUCGUAACGGGAUCUACUGGGUUAUCUUCUGAUGAUACCCUAUUCACAAGGAGGAGUCACUCUUCUACCCGAUGUCUAAUAAAAUGGUAUUUUCUGUCGAUAUGUCGAGAUCUGUCAUGAUCCCUUGGUUCCUUGGUUAAGGCAACCGCUCCUUCAUUAUCACAGAAAAUUUCCAUGGGCUCCUUUAUGGAUGGAACAACUCCAAGGUCUCCAAUGAAGUUCUUCAACCAUAUAGCCUCUUUCGACGCUUUGCUUGCCACAAUGUACUCUGAUUCGCACGUUGAAUCAGCCACGGUCUCUUGCUUAGAACUUUUCUAAGACACUGCUCCUCCGUUCACGGUAAAGACCCAGCCCGAAUGUGAUCGGUAAUUAUCCCGAUCUGUCUGAAAACUAGCGUCACUAUACCCUCGCACCCUUAAGUCAUCACUCCCACCGAGGACUAGAAACCAUUCCUUGGUCCUUCGUAGGUACUUAAGAAUAUUCUUGAUAGCAAUCCAAUGUACUCUACUAGGGUUCCCUUGAUAUCUGCUGACCAUGCUCAAAGCGAAGGCCACAUCAGGGCGAGUACAAGUCAUAGCGUACAUGAUAGAGCCAACUGCGGAAGCGUAAGGUACUCGGCUCAUAUCUGAUAUUUCUGCCUCUGUACUCGGGCAUUGAGUCUUACUCAACUUGGCAUUGCUUUGGAUUGGCAACUCCCCUUUCUUGGAAUUUCCAUACUAAAACGCUUUAGUACCUUAUCCAAGUAUGUAUCCUGACUGAGUCCUAUCAGUCUCUUACUUAUGUUUCUUAUUAUCCUUAUUCCCAGAAUAUACGUAGCCUCUCCGAGGUCCUUCAUAGCGAAACACUUCCUAAGCCAGGACUUGACCUCCUGCAAGGUUGGGAUGUCAUUUCCUAUGAGUAAUAUGUCAUCGACAUACAAUACGAGGAAGCUCACUAUACUCCCAUUGGCCUUGACAUACACACAUGACUCAUCUUCGCUUCGCAGAAAGCCAAACUCUCUGACCUUCUCGUCAAAACAAAGAUUCCAUCUGCGAGAUGCUUGCUUCAAUCCAUAAAUGGAUUUCUCAAGCUUACACACUCUAUUUGGAUGCUUCGCAUUGACAAAACCCUCUAGCUGAUUCAUGUAAACAUCCUCAGCCAACUUUCCAUUAAGAAAAGCAGUUUUCACGUCCAUCUGCCAUAUUUCAUAAUCAUAGACUUUAUCUUGGCAACUGGCGAGAAGGUAUCAUCAUAGUCAACUCCAGGAGUUUGAGUAAAGCCCUUCGCAACCAAUAGUGCUUUAUAAGUGUGCACAUUCCCAUCCAUGUCUGUCUUCUUCUUGAAGAUCCACUUACACCCGACUGUCUUACGAUCUGGCACAUUAUCAACCAAAUUCCAAACUUGGUUGUUGUGCAUGGAUUGAAUCUCACUGUCCAUUGCCUCUUUCCACAUAGCAGACUCCGGGCCUGCCACGGCUUCCUUGUAGCUGCUAGGUUCGUCCAAAUUUACUAGUGUGCUAUCACUAAUAACUGUAUCCCCUUCAGCAGUAAUAUGGAAUCCAUACAACUGGGGUGGAACACUAGCCCUACUGGAAUGUCUAAGAGGUAAGGACUCGUCAACAGGUUCAACAGGAGUUUCCUCCUCAGGUUGAGUGAAGUUCCUUCAUCGCUAUGCUCUUGAAUCUCUUCAAGAUCAAUUUGCCAAACAUUAAUAGAACCAUUACUAUUAUCAAAUGAAUAUCUGAAACCUUGUUUAUAUAAUCCAUGAAAAGAAAUGAUGUUACUUGCCAUAUCUGACGAAUAGCAACAAUUAUUUAAAUCUAAUCCUAACCCAUUACUCAACGCUAAAGAAUAAACUCCGACUCUGGUCACAGGUGACGAUCUACUGUUUCCCAUAAUCAAGUUUAUCUUCCUAUGUUCAACCUCCCUACUUCUUCUUAGGCCACACAAAUUAGAAAAAAUGUGGAAACCACAUCCUGUAUUAAGAACCCAUGAAGUAGCAAGUGAUGAGUUGUUAGAUUUAAUAGAAUACAUACAUACAUAGGUGGGCUUUAUCUUCCCAUCUCUAAUGUCCUGCAGAUAUUUUGGGCAGCUUCGUUUCCAACGGCCCUUCUCGUGGCAAUAGAAGCACCCUACUUCCUUAGGGUCAGAGGAGGGUUUAGCAGAACCUGCUUUGGUCCCACUAGAGGAUGAAUCAUCACAGGAAUUUACCUUUUGGUGGCUCUUUGAAGGAGCCUUCCUCUUCUUUCCCUUCCCUUGGCCAAUUGCCAACACAGGAGAAGCCACAGCAAAGGAUGAUGCAACAGAUUUGUCCUUGAGGUUGCUCUCAGCAGUCCUCAGCAGUCCUUGAAGCUUACUCAAGGAGACCUCCUCGUUAUUCAUGUAGUAGGUCAUUCUAAACUGGUUGUAGCAGGAAGGCAAUGAGUGGAGGAUGAUAUCGAUAGCCAAAUCCUCAUCAAACUUAACAUUAAGUUUGAGAAGACGAUCAACAUACCUCUGCAUUUUCUGCAAAUAUGAGGUUAGGGAUUCUCCACUCCCCAUCUUAGUGGUGAUCAUGUUAGUAAUGAUCUCAUAACGCUCUUCUCUNCUUCCCUCGCGCUUUGGUGGUAUCUGUCCAGCAAAUCUUGAUGCAUCUCAUAUGGGUAUAUGUCUUCAUAGGACUUUUGGAGUUCGAGGUUCAUGGUGGCCAGCAUGAUGCAAUGAACUUUCGUAGCAUCACGCUCGUGGGCCUCAAAGGCAGCCAACUCUUCAGGAGUAAAAACAUCUGGGUUGAUCUUUUUAAGUUUCUCAUCGAGGACAUAUUCUUUGUUCUAAUAACGAUUGAUCAUACGAAUGUAUCUCAUCCACUCGUUGAAAUUCGACACAUCAAAUGUCACCUUUUGGCAUAGGUUCAUUAGCGAGAAUGACCCAGAAGCGUUGUUGUUUGCGUUUGCAUUAGACAUCUAAAAUAGAAAGGAAUAAACUUUGAUUAGAAAUGAAUCCGCAAUUAAACACCCAAAUGAGAAAUUAGGGCUAGGAUCCAACAGCAUUAUUUACAACUUAGAAAAGGGAUGACGUAAUCUAAAAGUAAAUAAUUUGAAGGUAAGUGAAUGACGAUUCACUAAUUUUCACCAUGAAAAACGAAAAUGAAGAUUAAGUUUUAAAUGUAUUUGAAAACUCCUAGAUCUUUUAGAUUCAUUGAACUUUUCAAUAGCAUGUUUAAAUCUCGAUAUGCACUUCAAAUUUACGACUGGGAUACCGAGGAUCGCAGACAAGUUGUGAAUAACCAUGCGAACCAACAUGGUACACUCAAUGUCUCUAUCACCCAAUUAAUGUGCUGAUUAGCCACGCACGUUCCAUUGAUCUAUGAUAAACAUCGAGCCACCCUUCGCCACCAAUGUCAAUCCCAAAUUAGUAUGUCGGUUAACCACGCACGCUCCACUAACGUUUGACAAAGGUGCAAAGUGUAAUUCCAUGGAAUAGCAUCAUUUUCACAUUUUACCCUAAAGUAACUAAGAUUGGGAAUUUGUAAAACAUUAUAGUUACUUUGUAAAUUCAUUAUACUUGUAAUGAGGAAUUAAGUGCCCUAUCUUAUUCGUUCGGCUAACGACCCUCCACCAGUCAAGCAAGUGGUGGGUGUGAGUGUACACCCAUUAAACAUCAUUUUAUAGGCAGCAACCUUAUACCCACCUUAUAGACUAGCUUCGUGAAUGAGGCCUACUAGCGAUAAGACUAGCUUAUUCUUAUAUAUAUAUANNNNNNNNNNNNNNNNNNNNNNNNNNNNNNNNNNNNNNNNNNNNNNNNNNNNNNNNNNNNNNNNNNNNNNNNNNNNNNNNNNNNNNNNNNNNNNNNNNNNNNNNNNNNNNNNNNNNNNNNNNNNNUAAGGGUUGAAAUUUGAAAUUUUCAAAAUUAAACUCUUAAUCAAAAUUUAAAUUUCAAAACUUGAGGGCAAGUUUUGAACUUUUCAAAACAUAAGGGAUAAAAUAACAAAUAAUAUAAAUCUCACAAUUAAUUCAAUGAUUAUCUAUAUUUGACCUAUUCUUGCAAGAUAAGUUACCCAAUUAAUUCAAAUAAUCAAUUUUUAAGCACAUAAGGAAUUUAUUAUUUAAUGAAUUGGUAAUUAUCUUUUGUUUUUGGCAAGGAUAGUGUUACAAUGACAUUAAAAUUCAAAUUUUAUCAGUAAAAGCAGAUUAGGCAACUAUCCCUCAGCAAAAACAACAAGAAAUCCCGAGAAUGCCUCUGUCUGACGAUCCAACUCGCCGAGUCACUCAUGGACUCGCCGAGUUCAUGAAGUGACUCACCGAGUCAUGUCGAACAGAAGCUAGAAAAACGAUUUUCCGCAUGUUAAUCAUACAAAGCAUCCAUACAACAGAAACCAAUCAUGGCUUUGAUACCACUGAUGGGUUUUAUGCAUAAGAACAAUCGUAUGUGCUCAUACAAACCCUAAUGCUUGGAUCUAGGUUUCUCUAAUGUACAUGCAAUGAAUCCAAGACAUACAAACCCUAACCUAGCAUACAUAUUUCAUAAUUUAACAUAUAGAAUCAGAUCUAGAUGUUUACCUCUUCAAUGGAAGCUUGAAUCUUCUUUCUUGGAGCUUAGAGUCACAAUUGUAACUCCUCUAAUGGCUUACAAACACCACAAACAAGAAGGAAACUAUGAGAGAGGAGGGAGGAUGCUUAAUUUCAGUCUAGGGUUUCUCUUGGGAAGCAAGUGGCCGAAAAUUGAUGGCUAGGGGGCUUAUUUAUACUAUAGGCUGCUAGGGUUUCAGUCUAAACCCUAAUGGACAACUUAGUAACCAAGUAGCCCAUGGAACCUUCUGGACUAGGGCCUUAGACGAAAACAUGAUGAUCCUUCAUCAUAAUUUCGUUCUCCCUUAGUCCAUUAGGUUUCCCAGCCCAAAACUCAACUAUCAUACAUUUGACAAUUUAUGCCCUUUUAUUUAAUUAAUCUCUUUUAGUCACCAAAUUAAUUCCUAAUUAUUUUUAUGACUAAUACUAACUAAAUAAAUAUGAUUUCUCCUUUAAUAUAUUAUUCUUAUAAUAUAUUAAUAAAUCAUAUUAUCCUUUCUCUCUCUCUCUCAUCAGAUUACCUUGUCAAGUUGCUUUGGUGAAGGCAACCCAAAAUGACCAUGCACAACCAGGUCAAGUACAUACCAAAUAUAGUUACGAGCUUAGACACUACUCCAACAUAUACUACCUUUCACGCGAAUUCAUACUUGUUCCAAGAAAUGCCCCAAAUUUCCCAAGUCACUACAUAUGGUAACCACAAAGCAAUUUAA